UACGUAGGGGGCGAGCGUUGUCCGAAUUUACUGGGCGUAACGCGCGCGUAGGCGGCUAUUUAAGUCUGGGGUGAAAGGUUCGACGCUCAACGUGAACAGUGCCUUGGAUACUGGGUGGCUUGAGUCUGGGAGAGGGUAGUGGAAUUCCUGGGGUAGCGGUGAAAUGCGUAGAUAGCAGGAGGAACACCGGUGGCGAAGGCGGCUACCUGGCCUAAGACUGACGCUGAGGUGCGAAAGCGUGGGGAGCGAACGGG
This 254-nucleotide ribosomal RNA is filed under the name uncultured bacterium. Its description in RNAcentral is "partial 16S ribosomal RNA". It matches the Rfam family "Bacterial small subunit ribosomal RNA", at positions 524 to 776 of the family's 1533-position model. The record is from RNAcentral.